UAGUGGCAGACGGGUGAGUAAUAUAUAGGAAUCUACCUAGUAGUACGGGAUAAUUGUUGGAAACGGCAACUAAUACCGUAUACGCCCUACGGGGGAAAAAUUUAUUGCUAUUAGAUGAGCCUAUAUUAGAUUAGCUAGUUGGUGGGGUAAUAGCCUACCAAGGCAAUGAUCUAUAGCUGAUCUGAGAGGAUGAUCAGCCACACUGGAAUUGAGAUACGGUCCAGACUCCUACGGGAGGCAGCAGUGGGGAAUAUUGGACAAUGGGCGAAAGCCUGAUCCAGCCAUGCCGCAUGAGUGAAGAAGGCCUUUGGGUUGUAAAGCUCUUUUAGUGAGGAAGAUAAUGACGGUACUCACAGAAGAAGUCCUGGCUAACUCCGUGCCAGCAGCCGCGGUAAUACGGAGAGGGCUAGCGUUAUUCGGAAUUAUUGGGCGUAAAGGGCGCGUAGGCUGGUUAGUAAGUUAAAAGUGAAAUCUCGAGGCUUAACCUUGGAACUGCUUUUAAAACUGCUAACCUAGAGAUUGAAAGAGGAUAGAGGAAUUCCUAGUGUAGAGGUGAAAUUCGUAAAUAUUAGGAGGAACACCAGUGGCGAAGGCGUCUAUCUGGUUCAAAUCUGACGCUGAGGCGCGAAGGCGUGGGGAGCAAACAGGAUUAGAUACCCUGGUAGUCCACGCUGUAAACGAUGAAUGUUAAAUAUGGGAAGUUUACUUUCUGUAUUACAGCUAACGCGUUAAACAUUCCGCCUGGGGACUACGGUCGCAAGAUUAAAACUCAAAGGAAUUGACGGGGACCCGCACAAGCGGUGGAGCAUGUGGUUUAAUUCGAUGCAACGCGAAAAACCUUACCACUCCUUG
RNAcentral lists this ribosomal RNA (852 nucleotides) under Wolbachia endosymbiont of Xylosandrus germanus. RNAcentral's name for it is "bacterial SSU rRNA". It matches the Rfam family "Bacterial small subunit ribosomal RNA", at positions 93 to 983 of the family's 1533-position model. The record is from RNAcentral. Lineage: Bacteria; Pseudomonadati; Pseudomonadota; Alphaproteobacteria; Rickettsiales; Anaplasmataceae.